GCACCCGUAGCUCAGCUGGAUAGAGUACUGCCCUCCGAAGGCAGGGGUCACAGGUUCGAAUCCUGUCGGGUGCGCCA
RNAcentral lists this transfer RNA (77 nucleotides) under Novispirillum itersonii. RNAcentral's name for it is "tRNA-Arg". It matches the Rfam family "tRNA". From Rfam's summary of the family: Transfer RNA (tRNA) molecules are approximately 80 nucleotides in length. The record is from RNAcentral. RNAcentral also lists the same sequence under 137 other names. Lineage: Bacteria; Pseudomonadati; Pseudomonadota; Alphaproteobacteria; Rhodospirillales; Novispirillaceae.